UGAUGUUAGGGAUACCUCAUGGUUUCACUGAUAUUAUCUUCUUCUUUUUUUCAAACCAGGUUGGCUGAUGUUGUUUGCAGUCAAUAGGAGAGUGACAUUUUCCUUGAGUGUUCCUGCAAAUGGCUGCUUCUAAAUUCUCUAGCAUUGUCUUGGGAGUGGGUCCUAGAUCAUUGGUAGGAGAAGGAGUCAUUUAUGGAGUUCCAUACCUUUUUCUGGACUUGUGAGGUUCAAGUAUCUGUUCAUGUUGAGAGGUUUCCUUCACUGUCAAUGUCCUUUUGAAAUGUCUUUACGAUGGUUAUGAGCCAAACUUCUUGACAUGCCGAUAGAUUCUUUAGCUGAAUUGUAGUUGAGAAUCAUCUAGAAUCCGAGAGUCCCUCAACGUAAUCGGUCGACUUUCUCCAAGAUAAGUGUUAAGUUGGUGGUGCAUCUCCUUGACUCUUUAAUUUUGGAGUAGUUAGAAGUAGUGGUUUUUCGUAUUCCAAUGAUACUGUGAUUUAUUCACCUGAAGCAAAUUCUACAAUAGUCUCUUUCUUCACCAAUUGUACUCGUAUUCUGGCAGACGCCUUAGUAAGUUCGUAGCACUCCAGUGAACCAAUUUUUAUACCAUUGUUAUUGAGCAUCUCUGGUUUUUAGUAAGGUAGUGGAAGUUCUUUUAGUUGUAUCUAAAACGGAAUUUGUGAUGAAAAUGAACAAGAGUUAUCAGUUCCUUCUGAAGAAUAAGCAUCCAUCUAGCAUUGGGAUAUGGUAUGUUGUCCAUAACAAUUUCUAACACAAUUUCAGCUUGAGAAGAAAUGCUCUUCAUCUAAACACUGACUGUCAUUUUUUCUUCUUAUCACAACAGGGUAUAUUAAUCCUCGUCUUUCUCAAAAGUUAAACUGAAACCUUUUUGUUUGACUCAUUUAAUCAGAAAUGAAAGAGUAACAAGUUACACCAUAACAUAUCAAUUUUUUUACACUGAAGUAGCGUACAUUAUUAGGUAACCUGAAGUACGUAACUUGAUGAAAAAGAAAAUACAUAGGUUACCAAGAUGCAUAAAAGCUGAGCCACGAACAUCGAUAUUCACUGAGCCAACACCAUUGUUAAAACGCUCUAAUCUACCACUAUAAGACUGUCUAAAAACCAAAGAACAAAAAUUGUUAUGGGUAGACCAGAAGAAGUCGCAAAAUCGUUUUUCAAAGGAGAAAAAAAAACAAUUGAUGUGUGAUAGAACCGGGAUUUAUCUAAGAAGCCACAAAGAUCAAACACACAUACGCCUGAAAGGCCCAAUAUUAUAAUCUGAGAUCUUGUAGUAGGCCCCAUGGUGAGCUGUAAAUAACAUUGCUAGGCUGUGGGUGAAUGAUGAGGAGAGGUGGACCACGUGGAGAUGAAUGUGUUAAGCUUUUCUGGUCUAAAGGCAUGGGGGAGACAGCUCUGCCUCUUUGCUCUUUUUCUCUUUAACUAUCUAUUUUUUCUCUU
Molecule: long non-coding RNA, 1455 nt
Filed under: Brassica rapa (field mustard)
Lineage: Eukaryota; Viridiplantae; Streptophyta; Magnoliopsida; Brassicales; Brassicaceae
Description: long non-coding RNA (BRAP_LNC003670)
Source: RNAcentral